UUCGUACCAAAACCUAGCUGCCCCACCCCUCUCUCUCUUCGUUCUUUGUCCAAAUUCACGAGACUCCAUUCCUGUUUCCUCUUUUUUUGCUCCAAAACACCACAAACCUCAUAACAACAGGUAAGGUCUCACCAUUUCCGGAAAUGCUUUCAAGGAGUAGCAAGUACUUUUGAUCUUUGACCAAAUCAUAAGCAGAUCCCCUCUGUCUGUUUCUGCUAUGGCCUCAACGUUCGAAUUCGAACGGCCAUUUUGACUUAAGAUUCAAACUCUACUCUAAAAAUCCCGCCCAAAAUCAUAAGAACCCUAGGUUCCGCUUAUAAAUAGUGGUGUUGGAGAAUAUUUAGGUUCAAGGUUCAGCCGCCACUCUACCCCUUGAACUUUACUAACUAUGAAAAGCCUUAGUCUCAUUUGCUUAACUUAAACAACAGAAACGUUUCAUUCCCUAAUCAAAACUUUCCUAUCCGAGAACUCUCUCAAACACGGCCUAGAAUCAAACACAGCUAAUUAGCCAUUGUUAUUCUCUUUUAAAACAUCUCUGUCUCUGUUGACUUUAAGCAAAGCAGAGAGUUUUGAGUUCGCCCGAUUCUAGUUCGAAUCUGUUCGUGACAAAAGAGUAGAUUCGAGGUCGACAUCCCCAGUCUCACUGCCCAACAACAGGUUCCUUCAUUUGCAGACGGUGAUGAUGAGAGUAAGGAUGAUACUUCUGAAGAAAGUGAUGAAGAAGAGCCUCAAAAGAAAAAAAAAAUCAAGAGUUUACGCAAGAGUUAUUGGGUUCCCGGAAACCCAUAUUCCAUGAUGCUCUACAUCCGCCCCUGCUCUAUGUGCCAAUACUUGCUUCAGUGAAAUACAACGAGGAAAAAGAAAAUCUCAAUAAUAUCAAAGUUCAAACACAAAGUUCAUUCGGAUUUUGAUCAGGAAGUAUGCUAAGAGGAAGAGGCACUAAAUGUAGUUGGGGAGGUCGUGGGGGCAUAACUAAUAAAGGCGGAGGAGGAUACCAACAACUACUGAAUAAUUCUCAAGCAGAUAUUAGUGAACUAUCAACCCCUACAUCUCAACAGGUAAGUUCAAACCAAUACAUCUAGUGUAAAGGUUGAAGACUUCAGAAGCGCCACGUAAAGACCCAAUGGAAGCUCAGGGAAGGCAUCUAUAACACCUUCAAUUGAGUUAACUGUACAUGGGUAUUGUUUAUACAAGUGAUGCUUACAAUGCUGAUUGAAUAUCAAAUUCCAUAAGGGCAUUCAUGCUGUUCACGAAAUUUCUUUUUGUUUGGGUCUUGCUAAUCCCGUAUCUUAACAAAAAAAGAAUCCAAACAAACAUUAUCUCUCCAGCACCAAUCAUCAAAGUACUUGCCGUCACCAAUGUUAUAAAUCGAGUUGCUGGCUCUUAUAUAAGUCAAAUAAGCACUCAGAAAGCAAUCCCACCAUUGAAGACUAACACAUAACAUGGAAAUUGUAGACAAACUUGGAAAGGAGUCGGACUUUAUUCAUAGAAAAAGAACUGCGAACCCAUUGAUCUUCGCCAAAGUGUAACAUGUCGUAGAAUACUUGCGGUUUUAAGCAUGGAGAUGGCGGUGAACAUAUCUCAGCAACUAGGUUGGUCAAUGUUUCCAGAUUUUUGAGGUCCGAAAGUAUAUAAGCACUAUUUAUAAGGUCUCAAAUAAAAUUAUAAGUACAAAAACCUAAAAACAAAAAAGUAUCAUUCAAUUCAUAUCAAAAGAGAUGUUACAUUUAGGAGGAUUAACACAAGUAUCGAAGAAGCCAAGCCGCACAUGGUCAUCGUUGCCAAUGAACACACCAUUUUCAACAUUACCGUAAAUGCAUUGAUGUCUGUGAAUACGAUGGAGUCGAAUUGUGACUUGCCUGAAAAUAAUCAAAUAAUGUGACAAAUAAUCUUGAAAUAAAUAAGGUAAUUCGAUAAGAAUACUUACUCCAAUAUCCUCAGAUCAAUCCCAAGUUGUUGAGCCUCCCACUUGUAUUUUUGCUUGUUAUUUAAUUAGGUUUUUAGGGAUGUGACUCUUUCAACAACCACUAUGACUUUACUGCCACCCGCAAUGACUUUACUGUCCCCCACAACUUCUAUCAAAGAGUGUAAGUGUGGUCUCAGGAUGAAUAGACAACGCAUUUGUUUUAAUUGAUUCAAAUAAUUCUGGGCAGCUUCCACACUAGGAUACAAUUGCGCACUCGCUUCCUCCUCAGAAUCUUUGUUUCUUCUUAAUAUGCAAUUGUUAAGUCAUGUGUUUUGAAAACCGACUAAGUCUUGGUAUAGGAGUAUCCACCAUAGAAAUCCUAACUGGAAUAUUUUUCACUUUCUCCAUGGUGGAAUAACUUAAAUUAUUUUGCUACACGCCAUGGUGGGCAAUAGAGAAAAAUAUUGCAGUUACGAUUUCUAUGGUGGAUACUUCUGAGGAGGAAGCGAGUGCGUAAUUGUAUCCUAGUAUGUAAACUGCUCAGAAUUAUUUGAAUCAAUUGAAACAAAUGCGUUGUCAGUUCAUCCUGAGACCACGCUUACACUCUUUGAUAGAAGUUGUGGGGGACAGUAAAGUCAUUGCGGGUGGCAGUAAAGUCAUAGUGGUUGUUGAAAGAGUCACAUCCCUAAAAACCUAAUUAAAUAACAAGCAAAAAUACAAGUGGGAGGCUCAACAACUUGGGAUUGAUCUGAGGAAAUUAUUGUAGUAAGUAUUCUUAUCGAAAUAACUUAUUUAUUUCAAGAUCGUUUGUCUCUUUAUUUGAUUAUUUUCUAAAAUAUUUUCAGGCAAGUCGCAAUUGGGCUCCAGCAUAUUCACUGCCAUCAAUGCAUUCAGGGUAAUGGUGUAUUCAUUGGCAACUAUGGCCACAUGCAACUUGGCUUCUUCGACAUUUGUGUUAAUCCAUCCUAAGUGUAAGAACUCUUUUGAUUUGAAUGAUACUUUUUUGUUUUUAGGUUUUUGUACUUAUAAUUUUAUUUGAGACUUUGUGAUAGUGCUGAGGGUAUACUUUCGGACCUCCGAAAUCUGGAAUUGACCAACCUCGUUGCUGAGAUAUGUUCACCGCCAUCUCCAUGCUUAGAACCGUAAGUAUUCUACGACAUGUUACAUUUUGGCGAAUAUCAAAGGGUUGACAGUUCUUUUUCUAUGGAUAAAGUCCGACUCCUUUCCAAGUUUGUCUACAAUUUCCAUGUUAUGUGGAAGCCUUACAAUGGUGGGAUUGCUUUCUGAGUGCUUAUUUGACUUAUAUAAGUUCCAACAACUCGAUUUAAGUAACAUUGGUGAUGAUUAGUGUUGGAGAGAUAAAGUUUGUUUGGAUUUCUUUUUUUGUUAAGAUACUGGAUCAGCAAGACCCAAACAAAAAGAAGUUUUGUGAACAGUAUGAAUGCCCUUAUGGAAUUCUGAUAUUCAGUCAGCAUUUCAAGUAUCACUUGUAUAAACAAUACCCAUGUAUAUUAACUCAAUUCAAGGUUUCAUGGGUCUUUACGUGGCGCUUCUGAAGUCUUCAAUCUUUACAUUAGAUGUAUGUGUCAACGACAAACGGUUGGGCGAAAAAUUCAAAAAGUUGAGCAUUCAUAAAAAAUAGCCGAUACGUUGAUAUUGGAAGAUAAUGAUCUCUCUGAAGAUGAAGAAUAGGAUCCUCUACUUGUUACGGGCUUGGUAAUUGAGGAACUUGAAAGCACAGUGUGAUUUUUGGUGUCUUUUCUGCCGGAGUGAAAUAUGAAAUUUGUUAGAUACUUGUUUACAGAUAUCUUGUGGGUCAGGAGUUGAUGAAAAACCUUUAGGAAGAUCUUCAGUCUUGUUCAAGAAACAUCUCUUGUAGUUGAUUUCAUAACUUUCAUAACUUUCAUUAGUUAGAACUUGCAUGCCCUUUUUUCAGGGGAAUUAUAUGAAAUUUAUGUUAUUGUAGAAGAUCAAAGUGGAAGUGUUUGAUACUGUCAAGAGUAAACUUUGUUAACGAAAAAGAAAAAGGCUUCAUGAUACUUUCUGUUGAGUUACUGGUUAUCAACAGAAAGAUGGUUGUCCUGGGGUGCCUCUCUUAC
Molecule: non-coding RNA, 4005 nt
Organism: Nicotiana tabacum (common tobacco)
Lineage: Eukaryota; Viridiplantae; Streptophyta; Magnoliopsida; Solanales; Solanaceae
Source: RefSeq, a predicted model, not a curated record